AUACGAAGGGGGCUAGCGUUGUUUGGAAUUACUGGGCGUAAAGCGCAUGUAGGCGGACAUUUAAGUCAGGGGUGAAAUCCCGGGGCUCAACCUCGGAACUGCCUUUGAUACUGGGUGUCUAGAGUGCGGGAGAGGAAAGUGGAAUUCCUAGUGUAGCGGUGAAAUGCGUAGAGAUUAGGAAGAACACCAGUGGCGAAGGCGGCUUACUGGUCCAUUACUGACGCUGAGGUGCGAAAGCGUGGGGAGC
RNAcentral lists this ribosomal RNA (247 nucleotides) under uncultured bacterium. RNAcentral's name for it is "partial 16S ribosomal RNA". It matches the Rfam family "Bacterial small subunit ribosomal RNA", at positions 523 to 769 of the family's 1533-position model. The record is from RNAcentral.